RNAcentral lists this ribosomal RNA (243 nucleotides) under uncultured Pseudomonas sp. RNAcentral's name for it is "partial 16S ribosomal RNA". It matches the Rfam family "Bacterial small subunit ribosomal RNA", at positions 1141 to 1382 of the family's 1533-position model. Lineage: Bacteria; Pseudomonadati; Pseudomonadota; Gammaproteobacteria; Pseudomonadales; Pseudomonadaceae. The record is from RNAcentral.
UAAGGAGACCGCCGGUAGACAAACCGGAGGAAGGUGGGGAUGACGUCAAGUCAUCAUGGCCCUUACGGCCUGGGCUACACACGUGCUACAAUGGUCGGUACAAAGGGUUGCCAAGCCGCGAGGUGGAGCUAAUCCCAUAAAACCGAUCGUAGUCCGGAUCGCAGUCUGCAACUCGACUGCGUGAAGUCGGAAUCGCUAGUAAUCGUGAAUCAGAAUGUCACGGUGAAUACGUUCCCGGGCCUU